This 402-nucleotide ribosomal RNA is filed under the name uncultured bacterium. RNAcentral's name for it is "bacterial SSU rRNA". It matches the Rfam family "Bacterial small subunit ribosomal RNA", at positions 355 to 774 of the family's 1533-position model. The record is from RNAcentral.
UCGGGAAUUUUGGGCAAUGGGCGAAAGCCUGACCCAGCAACGCCGCGUGAGGGAUGAAGUAUUUCGGUAUGUAAACCUCGAAAGAAUGGGAAGAAUAAAUGACGGUACCAUUUAUAAGCUCCGGCUAACUACGUGCCAGCAGCAGCGGUAAUACGUAGGGAGCAAUCGUUGCUCGGCUUUCCUGGGCGGAAAGGGCGCGUAGGCGGCGCGGUAAGUCACUUGUGAAAUCUCUGAGCUUAACUCAGAACGGCCAAGUGAUACUGCUGUGCUGGAGUGCGGAAGAGGCAACCGGAAUGCUUGGUGUAGCGGUGAAAUGCGUAGAUAUCAAGAGGAACACCUGAGGCGAAGGCGGGUUGCUGGGCCGACACUGACGCUGAUGCGCGAAAGCCAGGGGAGCAAACG